AAGGUGAAACCCCUGAAGGAGGGGGGCGGAUUUAAAUAGACCUCAGGGUCCAGCGCAAUAAUGAUUGCAGAUCUCUUUUGAUCGAUCUACAACCGCCGCGUGUCCCACUCGUCGUGGCAGACGGUUGACGACUGACAGAAUCGUUAUUGCACCGUACCUGGAGCAACGCUCCAGUGAAAAUUUCGAAAAAAUCUUUUCGGAUCGUCUCGAUUUGAAAAGACUCCAGCACUGGCACACCAAACGUCAAAAUAUCUGAAAACAAUCGAGUACGAAAAUCAAGGGGGGC
This 286-nucleotide long non-coding RNA is filed under the name Elaeis guineensis (African oil palm). Its description in RNAcentral is "long non-coding RNA (EGUI_LNC029629)". The record is from RNAcentral. Lineage: Eukaryota; Viridiplantae; Streptophyta; Magnoliopsida; Arecales; Arecaceae.